GGAGGAGUGGCCGAGUGGCCGAAGGCGCGGCUCUCGAAAAGCCGUAGGGCAGAAAUGUCCUCGUGAGUUCGAAUCUCACCUCCUCCGCCA
Molecule: transfer RNA, 90 nt
Filed under: Candidatus Portnoyibacteriota bacterium
Lineage: Bacteria; Candidatus Portnoyibacteriota
Description: Candidatus Portnoybacteria bacterium tRNA-Ser
Rfam family: tRNA
About the family: Transfer RNA (tRNA) molecules are approximately 80 nucleotides in length. Their secondary structure includes four short double-helical elements and three loops (D, anti-codon, and T loops).
Source: RNAcentral